Molecule: ribosomal RNA, 253 nt
Filed under: uncultured bacterium
Lineage: Bacteria
Description: partial 16S ribosomal RNA
Rfam family: Bacterial small subunit ribosomal RNA
Source: RNAcentral
UACGUAGGGGGCUAGCGUUGUCCGGAAUCAUUGGGCGUAAAGCGCGUGUAGGCGGCCCGGUAAGUCCGCUGUGAAAGUCGGGGGCUCAACCCUCGAAUGCCGGUGGAUACUGUCGGGCUAGAGUACGGAAGAGGCGAGUGGAAUUCCUGGUGUAGCGGUGAAAUGCGCAGAUAUCAGGAAGAACACCUAUGGCGAAGGCAGCUCUCUGGGACGGUACUGACGCUGAGACGCGAAAGCGUGGGGAGCGAACAGG